CUCCCAAAUAGACCACAAAAUCUGUUCAUAUCUCCAAAAAAAACGGUUAUUUCAGUUAAAGCUAAUCUCACAACAUUUUUAAGAAAAUUGAAGGUCAAUAUUUGUGUUUGGACGUGGCGUUUUAAUAGAAUCAAAAUUUCUGUAGCUAAACCAAACCAACAAACCGAUCCAAAGCUAAACCACAUCUUAUUGUGUGGUUAUCACUCUUUCUACACCAAAUAACGUUACUCAUAUCAAAAUGAGAGAUAAUGGUAGAAAAUUGUUGUACGGUAACUUGUCAGUGUGACAUGAUGAUUGAUGACCUGGAGUUUCAGCGUCGAGAACGG
Molecule: long non-coding RNA, 326 nt
Organism: Arabidopsis thaliana (thale cress)
Lineage: Eukaryota; Viridiplantae; Streptophyta; Magnoliopsida; Brassicales; Brassicaceae
Product: other RNA
Exons: 1
Source: RefSeq